GAUGAACGCUGGCGGCGUGCCUAAUACAUGCAAGUCGAGCGCUGAAACGAGGAGCUUGCUCUUCUUGGGUGAGUUGCGAACGGGUGAGUAACGCGUAGGUAACCUGCCUUGAAGCGGGGGAUACCUAUUGGAAACGAUAGCUAAUACCGCAUAAAAAUGGAAGCCACAUGUCAUAUAUUUGAAAGGGGCAAUUGCUCCACUUAAAGAUGGACCUGCGUUGUAUUAGCUAGUAGGUGAGGUAAUGGCUCACCUAAGCGACGAUACAUAGCCGACCUGAGAGGGGUGACCGCCCACCCUGGACCGGAGACACGGUCAAGAUCCCUACGGGAGGAACAGUAGGGGAUCUUUGGGAAUGGGGGGAACGCUGGACGAGCCACGGCGGGUGAGGGAAGGAAGGUCUUCGGUCGGUAAACUCUUGUGAGAGGGGAGGACGGGUUGGAUAAUUAAAAGUUCACGUUUUGACGGUACCUUACCAGAAAGCGACGGCUAACUACGUG
This 497-nucleotide ribosomal RNA is filed under the name uncultured bacterium. RNAcentral's name for it is "partial 16S ribosomal RNA". It matches the Rfam family "Bacterial small subunit ribosomal RNA", at positions 28 to 507 of the family's 1533-position model. The record is from RNAcentral.